This 164-nucleotide ribosomal RNA is filed under the name Canavalia africana. RNAcentral's name for it is "5.8S ribosomal RNA". It matches the Rfam family "5.8S ribosomal RNA". From Rfam's summary of the family: 5.8S ribosomal RNA (5.8S rRNA) is a component of the large subunit of the eukaryotic ribosome. It is transcribed by RNA polymerase I as part of the 45S precursor that also contains 18S and 28S rRNA. Lineage: Eukaryota; Viridiplantae; Streptophyta; Magnoliopsida; Fabales; Fabaceae. The record is from RNAcentral.
AAAAUGACUCUCGGCAACGGAUAUCUCGGCUCUUGCAUCGAUGAAGAACGUAGCAAAAUGCGAUACUUGGUGUGAAUUGCAGAAUCCCGUGAACCAUCGAGUCUUUGAACGCAAGUUGCGCCCGAAGCCAUUAGGCUGAGGGCACGCCUGCCUGGGUGUCACAC